AAAGCCCUAACGUGAACUUAAGGGGAGGAGAGGGGAUGAUCGGCGCUUCCCUCUAGCUGCGAGGAUGUUCGUCAAUAUCGCGGAUUUGAUCCACAAGGUCGAGGGAUGGAUCCUCAGGGAGCGGCAGCGCCGGUAUGUGGAUAAGGAUUUGAAUCCGGUGCUGCUGGUGCCUGGAAUUGGGGGCUCCAUUCUCAAUGCCGUGUACGAGGAUGGCACCACCGAGCGUGUUUGGGUCCGGCUCUUCGCUGCUGAUGUCGAAUUCCGGGAGAAGCUCUACUCCAAAUUCGACCCUAAGACUGGAAGGACCGUGUCCCUGAAUGAGAAAAUUCGUAUCGAAGUGCCUCAAGAUGAGCACGGGAUUUAUAGUUGCGACAUCUUGGAUCCUGAUGUGAUCAUCAGAAUGAAUGUCGUCUACUAUUUCCACGAUUUGAUUGAGAAGAUGUUGAGCUGGGGCUACGAGCAAGUGUUUGGAUUUGGUUAUGACUUUCGGCAAAGCAACAGGCUUCCGGAAAUUAUGGAUGCUUUCAGAAAGAAGAUUGAAAAGAUGUACAAGCACGCUGGAGGUAAAAAGGUGAAGAUUGUGUCGCAUUCCAUGGGUGGCCUGCUCGUUAAGUGCUUUCUUGCUCUCAAUCACGAGUUCUUCGAAAAACAUGUCGAUACGUGGAUUGCGAUCACUGCUCCCUGGCAAGGUGCACCUGGUUUUGUCACAGACUGUCUGUUAACCGGAGUCGAGUUUCUAAAGGGGUGGCAGAAGGAACUAUUCGUUGCGAAAUGGAGCACUCACCAGCUGUUGAUUGAGUGUCCCUCGCUUUACGAGCUGAUGUCGCCUCCCGAUUUCAAGUGGAACCGACCGCCUGAACUUCAUGUCUGGCGUAAAUGCGAGACUUCGAAUGGCUCUUGUUCCGUCGAGAAAGCGGUAUUUAACAGGCCGUAUAGCUGUGUGGAAGUGAUGGCAGACGCCUUGAAAGACAAUACGCUGCAUUUCAACGGUGAAGUCCUACCUUGCCCCUUCAACUACGACAUCCUUGAAUGGUCCAACAAAACCAGGGAGCUCCUGAAGGAUGCAAAGCUUCCAAAGGGAGUUCUUUUCUACAACAUAUAUGGCACUUCACAAGACACACCAUUCGAUGUCUGGUAACGUUUUUCGUUGCAGCUAUGGCAGCUCCGACUGUCCUAUCGAAAAUUUAAGCCACAUCUUAAAAACUGAGGCAACUUUCACGUUUGUGGAUGGCGAUGGAACGGUACCUGUGGAGUCCGCAAAGGCGGACUUACUUGACGCGGUCGCAAGAGUGGGAAUCCCAGGCGAUCACCGAGGGAUUCUUCUCGAGGAGAGGCUCUUCCGUGUUGUCAAGCAUUGGCUAAAGGCCGGAGAACCGGACCCGUUCUACAACCCCAUCAAUGACUACGUGGUGAUCCCAACCCCGGCCGAGUACGACGAGUACCAGCGCAGUCACGUAGAGAUUUCUUUCACGAAGCACCGCCAGGAAGAGCAGCGCGGCCAGAGUCAUGGACACCGCCAGGGAGAAUUCAUCGCUGCCGUGAUCUCGGGAUCGAAUGGACAGAUUGGUGCUCGAGCUGAAGCUCACGCUACGGUGGAAGACGAUGGUGGUGACUUCGUGGAGGUGUCUACGUUUGGUGUUGUGGAGGGCGGAGACGCUGGAGAAAGGAAGCUUGCCCUGGACAAGGCGAUGGCGGCGGCAUCCGACAAGGCGACAAACGUAGCUAUUGGCUGUCGGGGAUAGCGACAUCUGUGUAUGAUGUAUCGCUUUUGUAUAUAUCAAUGCUCGAUUGGACAGUCAAAAGACUGACUUGCUAGUCAAUAAGAGACUCAUUCGCUACAAA
Selaginella moellendorffii is the source of this 1842-nucleotide RNA transcript. It is a transcript of the gene named lecithin-cholesterol acyltransferase-like 4, with no coding region annotated. The record is from RefSeq and is a predicted model, not a curated record. The transcript is spliced from 9 exons. Lineage: Eukaryota; Viridiplantae; Streptophyta; Lycopodiopsida; Selaginellales; Selaginellaceae.